RNAcentral lists this long non-coding RNA (1283 nucleotides) under Sus scrofa (pig). RNAcentral describes it as "lncRNA (ENSSSCG00015025721.1)". Lineage: Eukaryota; Metazoa; Chordata; Mammalia; Artiodactyla; Suidae. The record is from RNAcentral.
UUGCUGUGGCUGUGGUGUAGGCUGGCAGCUGUAGCUCUGAUUAGAACCCUAGCCUGGGAAUCUCCAUAUGCCGCGGUGCAGCUCUAAACAAGCAAAGAAAAAAAAAAAAAAGAUGAAAUAAAACGUUUUAAAAAAACCACAAGAGCUGACAGAAUUAAUCACCAUCAAAUCAAAUCACUACUACAAGAAAUGUCAAAGGCAGGAGAAAAAUAUGCCAGAUGGAUAUUUAGAUCUGUGUAAAAGAAUGAAGAGAAUCAGAAAUAUGUAUAGAAGAUAGUAGAAUUCUUAUAUUUGAAUAAAGCCAUUUAAAAGAUAAGUGACUGUUUAGAACAAAUAAUAAAACUGUAUUGUGGGAUUUAUGACGUGGAAAAAUAAAACAUAUGACAGCAGUUGCCCAAAAGAUUGGGAAAAGAAAAAUAGAAUUAUACUAUUCUAAGGUUCUUAUAGCAUGCAAAGUGGUAUAUUACUUGAAGGCAGAUUGUGAUAAGUUAAAGAUGUAUACCCUAAAUCCUAAACCACUUUUAAAAAGCAAAGACAUAUAGUGGAGUUCCCAUCAUGUCGGAUUCAUUUCCAUUGCGCCAUGACAGGAAUUCCACAUGUAUAGAUUCUUUUUUCUCACAUUCAUGCUCCAUCAUAAGUGACUAGACAUAGUUCCUAGUGCUACACAGCAGGAUCUCAUUGCUAAUCCAUUCCAAGACAGUAGUCUGCAGCAAGAUGAUUUUAAUCUAACAAUAUAAAUAAUCUCAUUAAAUGCAAAUGAUCUAAACACUACAAUUAAUAGGUGGAAAUUAUCAAUUUCAUUUAAAAGUAAGAACUGAUUGGGUGUUAUGUACAAGAAACCCACUUAAAUAUAUUUUAAGACAGGCUAAAAGUACAGGGAUGGGAGAAGAUAUACUAUGCAGUCACUAAUCAGAAGAAAGCAGAAGUUACUAUGUUAAUAUUCGACAGAGUGGGUAUAGAACUUUAAAAUACAUGAAGCAAAAGUAAUAAAACUGAAAGGAGAAAUAGUUCACUGGUAUAGUUGGGUAUUUCAAUACUACUCUCUCAAAAUAUUGAGAGAACAAUUAGACCUCCCCCCAAAAAAAUCAGUAAGUAACUUGACCUUUACACAACACUCCACCCAACAUCAUGAUACAUAUAUAUUUUUUAGCAUUCACACAGUGUUUGCAAAGGUAGACCGUAUUCUGGGCCAUAAAACUAGUUUCAAUAAAUUCAUGAUUUGAAUUAUACAAAGUAUGUUCUUUUUGUCAUAAAGGACAGUAAUAGAAAAAUAUCUGGAAAAU